This 55-nucleotide transfer RNA is filed under the name Pseudogymnoascus sp. VKM F-4517 (FW-2822). It matches the Rfam family "tRNA", at positions 18 to 71 of the family's 71-position model. Rfam says of the family: Transfer RNA (tRNA) molecules are approximately 80 nucleotides in length. Their secondary structure includes four short double-helical elements and three loops (D, anti-codon, and T loops). Further hydrogen bonds mediate the characteristic L-shaped molecular structure. tRNAs have two regions of fundamental functional importance: the anti-codon, which is responsible for specific mRNA codon recognition, and the 3' end, to which the tRNAs corresponding amino acid is attached (by aminoacyl-tRNA synthetases). tRNAs cope with the degeneracy of the genetic code in two manners: having more than one tRNA (with a specific anti-codon) for a particular amino acid; and 'wobble' base-pairing, i.e. permitting non-standard base-pairing at the 3rd anti-codon position. Lineage: Eukaryota; Fungi; Ascomycota; Leotiomycetes; Thelebolales; Thelebolaceae. The record is from Rfam by way of RNAcentral.
GUUAGGAUUCCACCCUUCCAAGGUGGAGGUUCGUGUUCGAUUCACGGCAGUUGCA